CCCUUAGAUGUUCUGGGCCGCACGCGCGCUACACUGACGGAGGCAACAAGCCUAUCCUUGGCCGAGAGGUCCGGGUAAUCUUCGAAACUCCGUCGUGAUGGGGCUAGAUGAUUGCAAUUAUUCAUCUUCAACGAGGAAUCCCUAGUAAGGGCGCGUCAUCAACGCGUCCUGAUUACGUCCCUGCCCUUUGUACACACCGCCCGUCGCACCUACCGAUUGAAUGGUCCGGUGAAGCCUCCGGAUUGGCGCGCACCUCGGUGCCGCCGAGAAGUUGGCUAAACCUUACCAUUUAGAGGAAGGUGAAGUCGUAACA
This 313-nucleotide ribosomal RNA is filed under the name uncultured eukaryote. RNAcentral describes it as "partial 18S ribosomal RNA". It matches the Rfam family "Eukaryotic small subunit ribosomal RNA", at positions 1470 to 1796 of the family's 1831-position model. The record is from RNAcentral.